GACGAACGCUGGCGGCGUGCUUAACACAUGCAAGUCGAACGGAAAGGCCCUGCUUUUGUGGGGUGCUCGAGUGGCGAACGGGUGAGUAACACGUGAGUAACCUGCCCUUGACUUUGGGAUAACUUCCGCCCACCCCCCCCCCCCCCCCCCCCCCCCCCCCGCCCCCCCGCCGCGCUCCCACCGCCUCGGCGGUGGGGGACGGCCCCGCGGCCUAUCCGCCUGUUGGUGGGGUAGUGGCUUACCAAGGCUUUGACGGGUAGCCGGCCUGAGAGGGUGACCGGCCACAUUGGGACUGAGAUACGGCCCAGACUGCUACGGGAGGCAGCAGUGGGGAAUAUUGCACAAUGGGCGGAAGCCUGAUGCAGCAACGCCGCGUGCGGGAUGACGGCCUUCGGGUUGUAGACCGCUUUCGCCUGUGACGAAGCGUGAGUGACGGUAAUGGGUAAAGAAGCACCGGCUAACUACGUG
RNAcentral lists this ribosomal RNA (468 nucleotides) under uncultured bacterium. Its description in RNAcentral is "partial 16S ribosomal RNA". It matches the Rfam family "Bacterial small subunit ribosomal RNA", at positions 28 to 507 of the family's 1533-position model. The record is from RNAcentral.